GCCGGGAUGGUGAAAUGGUAGACACAGGGGACUUAAAAUCCCCAGGGAGCACAACUCCCGUGCCGGUUCGAGUCCGGCUCCCGGCA
Molecule: transfer RNA, 86 nt
Filed under: bacterium
Lineage: Bacteria
Description: tRNA-Leu
Rfam family: tRNA
About the family: Transfer RNA (tRNA) molecules are approximately 80 nucleotides in length.
Source: RNAcentral